This 429-nucleotide ribosomal RNA is filed under the name Acidobacteriota bacterium. Its description in RNAcentral is "Acidobacteria bacterium partial 16S ribosomal RNA". It matches the Rfam family "Bacterial small subunit ribosomal RNA", at positions 355 to 776 of the family's 1533-position model. The record is from RNAcentral. Lineage: Bacteria; Pseudomonadati; Acidobacteriota.
UGGGGAAUUUUGGACAAUGGGGGAAACCCUGAUCCAGCCAUCCCGCGUGUGCGAUGAAGGCCUUCGGGUUGUAAAGCACUUUUGGCAGGAAAGAAACGUCAUGGGUUAAUACCCCGUGAAACUGACGGUACCUGCAGAAUAAGCACCGGCUAACUACGUGCCAGCAGCCGCGGUAAUACGUAGGGUGCAAGCGUUAAUCGGAAUUACUGGGCGUAAAGCGUGCGCAGGCGGUUCGGAAAGAAAGAUGUGAAAUCCCAGAGCUCAACUUUGGAACUGAAUUUUUAACUACCGGGCUAGAGGGUGUAAGAGGGAGGUGGAAUUCCGCGUGUAGCAGUGAAAUGCGUAGAUAUGCGGAGGAACACAGAUGGCGAAGGCAGCCUCCUGGGAUAACACUGACGCUCAUGCACGAAAGCGUGGGGAGCAAACAGG